CAGUCGCCACGGUAAUACGAAGGGUGCAAGCGUUACUCGGAAUUACUGGGCGUAAAGCGUGCGUAGGUGGUUGUUUAAGUCUGCUGUGAAAGCCCUGGGCUCAACCUGGGAAUUGCAGUGGAUACUGGGCAACUAGAGUAAGGUAGAGGAUAGUGGAAUUUCCGGUGUAGCAGUGAAAUGCGUAGAGAUCGGAAGGAACAUCUGUGGCGAAGGCGACUAUCUGGGCCAUUACUGACACUGAGGCACGAAAGCGUGGGGAGCAAACAGGAUUAGAUACCCCAGUAGUCCCUGUCUCUUAUAA
Molecule: ribosomal RNA, 301 nt
Filed under: uncultured bacterium
Lineage: Bacteria
Description: partial 16S ribosomal RNA
Rfam family: Bacterial small subunit ribosomal RNA
Source: RNAcentral